GGAAGGAUCAUUCACACUUUAUAUCUACUUCGUAGAUUGUCCGGUGAUACAAACACGUGGUAAACUAGGCUUCACCCUUCGGGGAAUGCCUAGAUUGCCGUAAUGUUUAUUGCUCGAAAUAUAGAGGCUAAAUACUUCUAUAUUCGGACGAAAUACAAUAUCAAACACCCUUAACGAUGGAUACCUCAGCUCGUGAAGCGAUGAAGGACGCAGCAAAGUGCGAUAAGCACUGUGAAUUGCAGAUUUCCGCGAACCAGUAGAUAUCUCAACGCAUUAUGCGCGAGAGGGGUUUACUCUUCUUGCAGGUAUGUAUCAGCGCCAUGAUAUAAUUCUGUAUCUUGAUUGUAUCAAGCGUGCAGGUUUGAAGAAACGAUUUACGUUUUCUCUUAUUAGCGUGAUACACGGUUCUGCCUGAAUCGAGUGCACUCUUAUUAGAACAGACUUUGUGGUUUUAAAUCGCGGGUCGUUUCCCGGACGCCACAUUCUUAAAUGUUUGCUGCGCAGUCUUACAAGGAAUUAGAAGAGGAAACUCAACUAAACUCCCAAGCUACGCUCUAAAUACUGAAAGAAUGAAGGGGGUUCGUAUACAAUCUUGACCUGAUACAUGCCAGACAACCCGCUGAAUUUAAGCAUAUAAGUAAGCGGAGGAAAAGAAACUAACAAGGAUUCCCAUAGUAACGGCGAGUGAACAGGGAAUAGCUCAGUGCCCAAUUCAUGUCAAAAGCAUGGAAAUGUGGUUUAUGUGGGUAACCAGCACGACGCUCUGGAAAAGUUUCCUGGAAUGGAGCGCCAAAGAGGGUGACAGCCCCGUGAAUUCCAGAGAUCGUUGUGCGUACGGUUCCUGCUGACAGAGUCGCGUACUUUGGGAUAAGUGCGCUAAAGGGUGGUAAGUUCCAUCCAAAGCUAAAUAUGACCACGAGACUGAUAGCGAACAAGUACCGUGAGGGAAAGGCGAAAAGAACUUUGAAAAGAGAGUUAAAAGUGCUUGAAAUCGUUAAGGGAGAAGCGAAUAUUGCGGUUGAAUAAGCUAUUUUGCGAGUUGUCAUAAUGUACUCGGUUAUAGUUGUGUGUCAGGGUUAACCGAUCGCAUGAUAUCUAGCCGGGUAUAGAGUGGCUUUAUCGUAGGGUGGCGGGCAGUUGCGACUUGAUUCCAGUGGCAAAGCUUACUCAAUGCGGUAAGGCCAAGGUCUUCACUGUAUGAGCAGGUCAUCCUGGAUAUUCAGUCUGCAUUCUUAGUCAGUAAUAAACGGUUCAUUCGUAUUCACUGCAAUUCGAAGCCAUUUGGCUCCGUACGGCUCUGUUUGCUAAUGAUGCCUAAAAGCUUGACUACAACUGCCAGCAACAGUGAUAUUUGUCCCGUCUUGAAACACGGACCAAGGAGUCUAACGUAUGUGCAAGUGCUUGGAUAGAAAAUCCUCGUGCGUAAUGAAAGUGAUCAUAGCGAGUGUUCUGAAAAGAUCACGCAGCUGUGGCCGACCUUGAUCUUCGGAGACAGGUUUGAGUAUGAGCAUAUCCGUUAGGACCCGAAAGAUGGUGAACUAUGCCGGAGUAGGGUGAAGCCAGGGGAAACUCUGGUGGAGGCUCGUAGCGAUACUGACGUGCAAAUCGUUCGUCAAACUUCGGUAUAGGGGCGAAAGACUAAUCGAACCAUCUAGUAGCUGGUUCCCUC
RNAcentral lists this unclassified non-coding RNA (1669 nucleotides) under uncultured fungus. RNAcentral describes it as "sequence contains 18S rRNA gene, ITS1, 5.8S rRNA gene, ITS2, 28S rRNA gene". The stretch from base 593 to 1669 matches the Rfam family "Eukaryotic large subunit ribosomal RNA", at positions 1 to 961 of the family's 3401-position model. The record is from RNAcentral. Lineage: Eukaryota; Fungi.